RNAcentral lists this transfer RNA (74 nucleotides) under Acidobacteriota bacterium. RNAcentral's name for it is "tRNA-Met". It matches the Rfam family "tRNA". From Rfam's summary of the family: Transfer RNA (tRNA) molecules are approximately 80 nucleotides in length. Their secondary structure includes four short double-helical elements and three loops (D, anti-codon, and T loops). The record is from RNAcentral. Lineage: Bacteria; Pseudomonadati; Acidobacteriota.
UGCGGGGUAGCUCAGACGGCGAGAGCAGCGUCCUCAUAAGACGAAGGUCGCGUGUUCAAGUCCCGCUCCCGCAA